GAGGCUGUAGCGAAGUGGCUUAACGCAUUAGGGACGCCUAAUUUCGAGGGUUCGAAUCCCUCCAGCCUCA
Molecule: transfer RNA, 70 nt
Filed under: Bacillus thuringiensis
Lineage: Bacteria; Bacillati; Bacillota; Bacilli; Caryophanales; Bacillaceae
Also listed under: 1 other name
Description: tRNA-OTHER
Rfam family: tRNA
About the family: Transfer RNA (tRNA) molecules are approximately 80 nucleotides in length.
Source: RNAcentral